GGAAAAUAUCUGUUUUGGAAAUGCAUGUGAAUUACUAUUAGUACCCUUACAGUGUAAAAAUUACAAUUUUAAUCAAGUGUUGACUGUUUUUCCCAUCUCCUGGACAAACAAAUUUAAAGGUAUAAUCCUAAUGAAGAAAAAAAAAAGUACAAAUGAUAAAAUAUAUAAAAAUUUGAUCAAUUUUGUACUGAAAUUAAGGAUUGGCAGUGAUAAGGAGAAAAUUUUAAAAUAAGACCAUUUUGACCCCCCAAAAAAACAAUCUCCGUACAGCAUUACAAAUGGAUAUGUUAUAUAAUUUGUUAAGAUAAAUAAAUAUAUAUCAACUUAAUAUAGACAAAUAUCAUACAAACUACACAAACAUAUUCAAGGAUCAUAUCUUUGUUCUUUUUACUGUGGAUUCAUUAUUAUUUGUUGGAUACCAAUUUUCGUGGGUUUCGUGGGUACAGUUGAACCACGAAUUCAAAUGUUCAACAAAUAUCAUAUUUUCAAUAGGCUUUGUAUACAGAGAUUGGCAAAACCAUGAAAUCAAAUAUCCAUAUAUAUAUGUAAGUUUUCUGCAAUCUACAAAAAAUAAUACCCACGAAA
Molecule: long non-coding RNA, 585 nt
Filed under: Mytilus galloprovincialis (Mediterranean mussel)
Lineage: Eukaryota; Metazoa; Mollusca; Bivalvia; Mytilida; Mytilidae
Source: RNAcentral